Non-coding RNA from Phthorimaea operculella (potato tuberworm), 76 nucleotides. The record is from the annotation of a GenBank genome assembly. NCBI's taxonomy places the organism in Eukaryota, Metazoa, Arthropoda, Insecta, Lepidoptera, Gelechiidae.
GCCGCGGUAGCUUAGAUGGUAAAGGCGUCGCCAGUAUAGAUGACGUAAGUCGCAGGUUCAAAUCCUGCCUACGAUG